Molecule: ribosomal RNA, 336 nt
Filed under: Anaeroplasmataceae bacterium
Lineage: Bacteria; Bacillati; Mycoplasmatota; Mollicutes; Anaeroplasmatales; Anaeroplasmataceae
Description: bacterial SSU rRNA
Rfam family: Bacterial small subunit ribosomal RNA
Source: RNAcentral
AAAAUGGAGAGUUUGAUCCUGGCUCAGGAUUAACGCUGGCGGCGUGCCUAAUACAUGCAAGUCGAACGGGAUAUACCUUCGGGUAUAUCCAGUGGCGAACGGGUGAGUAAAACAUAGGUAACCUGCCCUUAAGACGAGGAUAGCCAUUGGAAACGAUGGAUAAUACUGGAUAGGAUAAUUAGAAGCAUUUGUAAUUAUUUAAAGGAGGAAUCCGCUUAAGGAGGGGCCUGUGGCGCAUUAGCUAGUUGGUAGAGGUAAAGGCCUACCAAGGCGAUGAUGCGUAGCCGGACUGAGAGGUUGAACGGCCACAAUGGAACUGAGAACGGUCCAUACUCC